GUGAGGAAUAUUGGUCAAUGGGCGAGAGCCUGAACCAGCCAAGUCGCGUGAAGGAAGAAGGAUCUAUGGUUCGUAAACUUCUUUUGCAGGGGAAUAAAGUGCAGGACGUGUCCUGUUUUGUAUGUACCCUGAGAAUUAGGAUCGGCUAACUCCGUGCCAGCAGCCGCGGUAAUACGGAGGAUCCGAGCGUUAUCCGGAUUUAUUGGGUUUAAAGGGUGCGUAGGUGGUUUGAUAAGUCAGCGGUGAAAGUUUGCAGCUUAACUGUAAAAAUGCCGUUGAAACUGUCGGACUUGAGUGUAAAUGAGGUAGGCGGAAUGCGUGGUGUAGCGGUGAAAUGCAUAGAUAUCACGCAGAACUCCGAUUGCGAAGGCAGCUUACUAAGCUACAACUGACACUGAAGCACGAAAGCGUGGGGAUCAAACAGGAUUAGAAACCCUGGUAGUCC
This 445-nucleotide ribosomal RNA is filed under the name uncultured bacterium. RNAcentral's name for it is "partial 16S ribosomal RNA". It matches the Rfam family "Bacterial small subunit ribosomal RNA", at positions 354 to 796 of the family's 1533-position model. The record is from RNAcentral.